This 253-nucleotide ribosomal RNA is filed under the name uncultured bacterium. Its description in RNAcentral is "partial 16S ribosomal RNA". It matches the Rfam family "Bacterial small subunit ribosomal RNA", at positions 524 to 776 of the family's 1533-position model. The record is from RNAcentral.
UACGAACUGUGCAACCGUUAUUCGGAAUCACUGGGCUUACAGGGUGCGUAGGCGGCUUGUCAAGUAGGGUGUGAAAGCCCCCGGCUCAACCGGGGAAUUGCGCCCUAAACUGGCGAGCUGGAGUGAGAUAGGGGUGUGCGGAACUUCCGGUGGAGCGGUGAAAUGUGUUGAUAUCAUUUGGAACGCCAAUGGUGAAAACAGGUAGCUGGGAGUGUGCUGACGCUGAGACACGAAAGCCAGGGGAGCAAACGGG